RNAcentral lists this transfer RNA (74 nucleotides) under Pseudomonadota bacterium. Its description in RNAcentral is "tRNA-Gly". It matches the Rfam family "tRNA". Rfam says of the family: Transfer RNA (tRNA) molecules are approximately 80 nucleotides in length. Their secondary structure includes four short double-helical elements and three loops (D, anti-codon, and T loops). Lineage: Bacteria; Pseudomonadati; Pseudomonadota. The record is from RNAcentral. RNAcentral also lists the same sequence under 1 other name.
GCGGUAGUAGUUCAGUUGGCUAGAAUGUCUCCUUGCCAAGGAGAAGGUCGCCGGUUCGAAUCCGGUCUACCGCU